This is a non-coding RNA of Vicugna pacos (alpaca), 201 nucleotides long. NCBI's taxonomy places the organism in Eukaryota, Metazoa, Chordata, Mammalia, Artiodactyla, Camelidae. The record is from RefSeq and is a predicted model, not a curated record.
UAUGUGCAGUUCUAUGUUAUUUUAUCAUAUGUAUAGGUUCAUGUAACCACCAUCGAAAUCAAGAUAUAGAACUAUUCUAUCAUUACAAAUAUCUCCCUCAGGCUGUCCUUUAUAGUCAAAUCUAUCCUCCUUCCCCACUAUUCCCGAUCCUGGUAAUCACUAAUUUGUCCUCCACUCUGCAAUUUUGAUGGUGGCUACAUG